UCGAAUAAUAGUCUCGCGUAUUGUGGAGAAUUAAGUUGCAGGCCGUAGCAGCAGCUCACUCUAGUAACGCGGACUAACUAGAAAACAUUGAGUUGGCCAAACGGCGUUGGUCUAAAAAAGUGUGUAUAGAUACUUGAAAAAGUGCAAAAGAAGAAGUGAAGUAAUUUUUCUUUUCUUUCAUUGACUUGUGUGUAAUUUAAUUGUAUUUCUAUAUACAUACAUAUUUUUUUAAUGGAAUUGCUUAAAAUGCAUUAGUGAAUUUUACUAAAAUUUAGUUGGAGACUUUACAAAAAGAUUGUGCAAAAGUUUUUUUUUUUAAUUUCUACGAAAUAUUACGCAUAUAAAAAAUUCUGCUAAACAUUAAAAAAUCAACUAACAAUUUCAAACGUAACUGACAACCCGUUUUAUUCACCACAACAACAACCUCCACACUCAAAUAUCUCAACUAAGUUUUGCUCCAAAUUGAGCCACUAAAAAUGGAACGAAAAAAACGUAAACUCGAUUACUCAACCAGCAAAGAGUAAAACUACCGAGCCAAGCCUUCCAAUGAAAGCUCCCAUAAAAAGCACACAUUUGGUAAGAGCAAAUACAUGAGCAGCCAACCAACAACAAUAACAACGAAUAAACAAACAAAUAUACGUCCGAUGCCGAGCCUCCCACCCAAAAAUAGACGUGCAAAAGUCAAGUAAAACAAGAAGCGUGUGAGAGAGUACACACCUGCAUGCGCCACAUCAGCUGCGCCGUAAAGUAUGCCAUAAUCGCAUACUUACACGUAUAUUGCAUGCCAACUACCAACCAGCUAGCUAACGGCAUUACUGAGCACUUUUGCAAGCGGCACUACAAUUUGAGUACGCGAACCGUGUGGAACAACUAAACGGGCAAGCCGCGCAUAGCAGCGUGCUGAAGAAAAAAAAUUUUGCAAGUUGCAAUAAAUAGUGCAAAAUAGAAAAUAGAGGAAGCAUAAGAUCUAAAGUAGAAAACACAAAGUGAAAAAAAAGAAAUAAAAAAUAAUGUAUAAAUAAAAUAAUUUGCAAACAUUGUGAUGUAAAGUGGCAAACAAUUGCUAAAAAUAACAGCGAUUUUUUUUUCUAGGUUUGCAUAACGCCUAAAAGUGUACUAAGCACAAUUUGUGACAAGAAAAAAAAAAGAAGAAACAAAAGAAAAAAAUGAUUUAAAGAAUAAGUCCAGCAGAAUUUGUGAAAAGAAAGCUUGGUUAAAGUAAAGUGAAUUUUUCUUUCCUUGCUGCGUAAAUUUGUGUGCUUAAGUGUGUGUGUGUGUGUGUGUGUAUGUGCUUGCACUCUUGCCAGUGUAGCGCAGCAACGUAGUUGACGACUGGCGGCCAGUAAACGCCGUCGCGGAACACGCAACACAACGUGAGAAGAAAAGCAUACACACGCGUAAGAAAACAUACAAAAUAAGCACUG
Molecule: unclassified non-coding RNA, 1424 nt
Filed under: Ceratitis capitata (Mediterranean fruit fly)
Lineage: Eukaryota; Metazoa; Arthropoda; Insecta; Diptera; Tephritidae
Description: uncharacterized LOC101460630, transcript variant X6
Source: RNAcentral